GCUGGGCGUGGUGGCGUGCGCCUGUAGUCCCAGCUACUUAGGAGGCUGAGGCAGGAGAAUUGCUUGAACCCAGGAGGUGGAGGUUGCAGUGAACCAAGAUGGCACCACUGCACUCCAGCCUGGGUGACAGAGCAAGACUCUGUCUCAA
This is a non-coding RNA of Pan troglodytes (chimpanzee), 148 nucleotides long. It matches the Rfam family "Metazoan signal recognition particle RNA". Rfam says of the family: The signal recognition particle (SRP) is a universally conserved ribonucleoprotein. It is involved in the co-translational targeting of proteins to membranes. NCBI's taxonomy places the organism in Eukaryota, Metazoa, Chordata, Mammalia, Primates, Hominidae. The record is from Rfam.